GAUAAAACCUAAAGGCGCAUUGAAAGAGAAAAUCGACCUCGCGUCGAUCGAGGGAGGAUGAGCGGCGUUUAAUCGCGUCGCUCCGCACUCCCGGGGCGUCUCGUUGUCAUUGCGACAUGAGGCGCACCUAGAGCGUACACGUUGGGACCCGAAAGAUGGUGAACUAUGCCUGGUCAGGAUGAAGUCAGGGGAAACUCUGAUGGAGGUCCGUAGCGAUUCUGACGUGCAAAUCGAUCGUCGGAACUGGGUA
This 250-nucleotide ribosomal RNA is filed under the name Tiphodytes sp. TN2004-3. RNAcentral's name for it is "partial 28S ribosomal RNA". It matches the Rfam family "Eukaryotic large subunit ribosomal RNA", at positions 700 to 917 of the family's 3401-position model. The record is from RNAcentral. Lineage: Eukaryota; Metazoa; Arthropoda; Insecta; Hymenoptera; Scelionidae.